CUCCUGGAAACGGGUGGUAAUACCGGAUGCUCCGCCCCACCGCAUGGUGGGGUGGGAAAUGCUUUUUGCGGCAUGGGAUGGGGUCGCGUCCUAUCAGCUUGUUGGCGGGGUGAUGGCCCACCAAGGCGUUGACGGGUAGCCGGCCUGAGAGGGUGACCGGCCACAUUGGGACUGAGAUACGGCCCAGACUCCUACGGGAGGCAGCAGUGGGGAAUAUUGCACAAUGGGCGCAAGCCUGAUGCAGCGACGCCGCGUGCGGGAUGGAGGCCUUCGGGUUGUAAACCGCUUUUGUUCAAGGGCAAGGCACGGCUUCGGGCCGUGUUGAGUGGAUUGUUCGAAUAAGCACCGGCUAACUACGUGCCAGCAGCCGCGGUAAUACGUAGGGUGCGAGCGUUAUCCGGAUUUAUUGGGCGUAAAGGGCUCGUAGGCGGUUCGUCGCGUCCGGUGUGAAAGUCCAUCGCCUAACGGUGGAUCUGCGCCGGGUACGGGCGGGCUGGAGUGCGGUAGGGGAG
RNAcentral lists this ribosomal RNA (512 nucleotides) under uncultured Bifidobacterium sp. Its description in RNAcentral is "bacterial SSU rRNA". It matches the Rfam family "Bacterial small subunit ribosomal RNA", at positions 147 to 659 of the family's 1533-position model. Lineage: Bacteria; Bacillati; Actinomycetota; Actinomycetes; Bifidobacteriales; Bifidobacteriaceae. The record is from RNAcentral.